Molecule: long non-coding RNA, 1269 nt
Organism: Procambarus clarkii (red swamp crayfish)
Lineage: Eukaryota; Metazoa; Arthropoda; Malacostraca; Decapoda; Cambaridae
Source: RefSeq, a predicted model, not a curated record
GGGUAUAUAAGGCAAUGUGUAUUAUUGCUCCACACACACUCAGCCAAGUAGUCGGUUAUCCAGCCUCACUAUCUCUUCCUUAAGUGAUCUAUCAGCCCAGUGCAUCAACCCAAGAUGAACUUCCUCCGUGCCUUGGUAGUGCUCCUGGUCGUGGUGGUCUCCCUGGCCACGGUCACCAACGCUAGUCCAUUAUUUGGUCUUUUUGGUGGUCGUCGAGGUCGAGGUGGUCGUUCACGCUCUAGGUCUUCCGGUGUCGGAACCCGGGAGGUCCCAGACCCCUACGCCUACGCCGCCCCACAAUUCGCCGGUGCCUUCCCUGUAUUCCCCAACUUCGUCACUGGAGUUGGUCGUUGAGACAUUCCUGAGAACAUCGUGUUUCUCUACGAUGUACCAACUGCAUAAUUCACUGUGCCGUACGGUGUUCUCUUGACUGAGACUCCGACGAGGCAUCAAGGCGCCAACCAGGCCGUCUUAGGCCGCCACUACAUGGCACCUGGUCUAGGGGUACCUAGGCCUCCACAUGCUUCACCCUGGUGAGCGUGAGUGCCAGAUGGCCCCACAUACCUCAUCAACCUGAUGAGUGUCAGUGAGUGCCAAAUGGCUCCGUUUAUGGAGGUACUACACCCCGAGACCAACCUUCCCCACAGGCCGGAAGAGUUGCAGAGUCGAGAGAAAAAUCUUCAGAUUGUCUCCUGACUGGUGACGAAAUCCGACAAAUUUUGGCUGUUUAUUGAGUUUAGUCACGAGACGAGAGAAGUCGCCCAGUGCGAGUCUUUCGUGUGGCUCAUCAUCAUGUGUGUUUCUGAGAGUGUUUUGCUGCGAGUACACCCAAGUCUGGCUCCCAGCUGACAGUUCACAGCUGCGAGUAGACCCAAGUCUGGCUCCCAGCUGACAGUUCACAGCUGCGAGUAGACCCAAGUCUGGCUCCAAGCUGACAGUUCACAGCUGCGAGUAGACCCAAGUCUGGCUCCCAGCUGACAGUUCACAGCUGCGAGUAGACCCAAGUCUGGCUCCAAGCUGACAGUUCACAGCUGCGAGUAGACCCAAGUCUGGCUCCCAGCUGACAGUGCAGAGCUGUGACCGGACAUACGUCUGACUUCCAGCUGGCUCCUUCAAGCAAUGCUUGAAAUUUACUUUUAUCUGUGAUAAUUACUUUUCUAAUAACAUAGAAUAAUAAGUUAGGCUUUGCUGUUAAUAAGAAAUAACACUUAAUCUUGUAAUCUAAAUCUUGCAAAUGUAUAAUAAAUAUUUUUGUACACAAAUCACAAA